Molecule: non-coding RNA, 134 nt
Organism: Triticum aestivum (bread wheat)
Lineage: Eukaryota; Viridiplantae; Streptophyta; Magnoliopsida; Poales; Poaceae
Source: Rfam
UUGCUACUCCCUCCGUCCGAAAAUAGUUGUCAUCAAAAUGAAUAAAAAAAGGCGUAUCUAGAAUUAAAAUACGUCUAGAUACAUCCCUUUUAUUUAUUUUGAUGAUAAGUAUUUCCGGACGGAGAGAGUACUUG